This is a non-coding RNA of Nyctereutes procyonoides (raccoon dog), 438 nucleotides long. The record is from the annotation of a RefSeq genome assembly. Lineage: Eukaryota; Metazoa; Chordata; Mammalia; Carnivora; Canidae.
AAUGAAGAACAUUAUUUAGGUGACACUCCAGAGAUGAAGUGUUCUUCAGGCAUCGUGAUUGUCUUACUCUUCAUGCUAGGACAAACCCAUGGAGACUCAGUGAAACAGAUGGAAGGCCAAGUGACCCUCUCAGAAGAGGCUUCUUUGACUAUAAACUGUACUUUCUCAACAUCAACGACACCCACUCUCUUCUGGUAUGUCCAGUAUCUGGGAGAAGGUCCACAGCUCCUCCUGAAAGCAUUAAGAGACAAGGAAAAGGGAAUCAACAAAGGAUUUGAAGCAACCUUGGACAGUUCAUCCAAAUCCUUCCACUUGAAGAAAGGCCCAGUGCAAAUGUCAGACUCAGCUGUGUACUACUGUGCCCUGGGUGACACAGUGAUGGGGACUGCAGGGGGAGCUGAGCACAAACUCAGAGUAGAGCAGGGGCCUGGAUGCUGA